AUUGAACGCUGGCGGUAGGCCUAACACAUGCAAGUCGAACGAUUGGCGGACGGGUGAGGCAUACAUCGGAAUCUCCUCUGUCGUGGGGGAUAACGUAGGGAAACUUACGCUAAUACCGCAUACGAUUGAAUGAGCCGAUGUCGGAUUGGCUAGUUGGCGUGGUAAAGGCCCACCAAGGCGACGAUCCGUAGCUGUUCUGAGAGGAUGAUCAGCAACACUGGAACUGAGACACGGUCCAGACUCCUACGGGAGGCAGCAGUGGGGAAUAUUGGACAAUGGGCGCAAGCCUGAUCCAGACAGACCGCGUGGGUGAAGAAGGCCUUCGGGUUGUAAAGCCCUUUUGUUGGGAAAGCGGUACCCAAAGAAUAAGCAACGGCUAACUUCGUGCCAGCAGCCGCGGUAAUUC
Molecule: ribosomal RNA, 406 nt
Filed under: uncultured bacterium
Lineage: Bacteria
Description: partial 16S ribosomal RNA
Rfam family: Bacterial small subunit ribosomal RNA
Source: RNAcentral